UCUGGUAAUGAUGGCAGAGAGGUCACACCCGUUCCCAUACCGAACACGGAAGUUAAGCUCUCUAGC
RNAcentral lists this ribosomal RNA (66 nucleotides) under Bacillus anthracis (anthrax bacterium). RNAcentral also lists the same sequence under 2 other names. Lineage: Bacteria; Bacillati; Bacillota; Bacilli; Caryophanales; Bacillaceae. The record is from RNAcentral.